RNAcentral lists this ribosomal RNA (207 nucleotides) under uncultured bacterium. RNAcentral's name for it is "partial 16S ribosomal RNA". It matches the Rfam family "Bacterial small subunit ribosomal RNA", at positions 568 to 774 of the family's 1533-position model. The record is from RNAcentral.
CGCGUAGGCGGGUCUGUAAGUCAGAGGUGAAAUCCUGCGGCUUAACCGUAGAACUGCCUUUGAUACUGCAGAUCUUGAGUUCGGAAGGGAGAGGCGGAAUUCCAGGUGUAGUGGUGAAAUACGUAGAUAUCUGGAAGAACACCAGAGGCGAAGGCGGUCUCUUGGUCCGUAACUGACGCUGAGGCGCGAAAGCGUGGGGAGCAAACA